This is a long non-coding RNA of Apodemus sylvaticus (European woodmouse), 785 nucleotides long. RefSeq lists it as uncharacterized. NCBI's taxonomy places the organism in Eukaryota, Metazoa, Chordata, Mammalia, Rodentia, Muridae. The transcript is spliced from 3 exons. The record is from RefSeq and is a predicted model, not a curated record.
AGGAGAGGGACCUCAUCUCACAACAGGGCAGGAGACCACAUCCCCCUCACGAGCCCUAGAACACUGAGUGCCAGGCUGAGGAGACAGUCCAGUCAGGAAAGAGCUUCUCCUACCAGCAUGAGAGCCUGCAUUUGAGCCCCAGCAACUGGUCUACUUGCCUCAGAAUAGCACAGCUGGCUAGGGCUGGGCCCUUCUGCAUCAAUUAGCAAACAAGGAAAUAUUCUGCAAACAUGUUCACAGGCCAAUCAGAUGGAGGGGAUUCUUUAGUUGAGCCUCCUUCCUGGUGUCAAGUCAACAAUCAAGGAACCCUAGGAGUUAGAAGGUACUUGUUAGACAACGCACAGCCACCGCAGAACAUAACCAAGGGAGACUUUGGGAACCGUGCGUGCCAGGAGUCAGCCACCUGGAUCACCGCUCUCCUCCUGCAGAAUGCAAAUAUCAGAAAGAAAAGGAAAAAAAUUAAAGAGGAGAAGAAUUUCCAUUUCUCUGUCUGGAAUUAUCAUUUGCAAUGAGGCUUGAUGACUGGCUGCAGACAGCCCAGCUGCUAAGGCUGAAUCUAGUCUGGUCUGCCCGCCUCACCGCAGGCUCUGUCUGACGGCUGCGGGGAAUGAACAGGACCUAUCUUUCCAGCAGUUCCUGGGCUUUGCUACUGGAACUGUCUGUGCUCAGGCCAGAUUCCCGCCCUCAUGAAUUAUUCACGAAGCCUCCUUCUCCCAGGUUCUUUCCUCUGGGCCGGGUGGCUUGUCAGCCGGGGAGAAAUUUGUAAAUGUAAUUUGUGUUCUCAA